Molecule: long non-coding RNA, 983 nt
Filed under: Vigna radiata
Lineage: Eukaryota; Viridiplantae; Streptophyta; Magnoliopsida; Fabales; Fabaceae
Description: long non-coding RNA (VRAD_LNC016944)
Source: RNAcentral
CUAAGAUGAAAAUUCAUAAUCCAACAAAACCAAACAUUUUAAAUGCUUCAAUAGUAAAAUAAAAAAAAACUAUCACCGCUUCAUCUAAAGAUUCAAUCAACCGUGACAUUCUUUUCCAAUUUGAAAUCACCGUACACCUACCCCAAUCUAUCAAAUAUUUAUCAACUAAAUAAAAGAAAAGAAAAAAAAAACUAGCUACUCUAAAACUAUCCACCGUCACAUCUUAUUCCAUUCUAAUCUAAUUGUACUCUCAGAAACUAAUUAAAAGAAAAGCACUAAAUGGAUGAAUUCUCUNCACCACGUCCCAUCUAGCUAGUAGCUAACCUACUCUUCAUUCCAUCAACCUUUAAUGGUAGCUCAAAUAAAAGUAAAUUUACGUGGCAGCUGGACAUUCUUUUCAGCAAAGAUAAAAGCAACAAAUGAUAAAUGCCAUCAAAUGNAAUGCACAGUUCAAAGGAAGUGAAUCACCAAGAUGAGACAAUGCUUAAGCGAACUUGCUGGAAUCCAAAAAGGAAAUAAAAGAAAACAAUGCCAAAAAGAAAUAGUAGCCACAACUAGCGUGCUUCUCACGGUGCUUCCUUUUUUUAUUUUCUCCUUCAUCCAAAAUCCAAAAACGAAAACAUGAUUAUCCUCGCUAAACUCAAAGUGAUGCUGGAUCCCAAAAAUUCCGAGAGAGAGCGCCUGGACGUUCAGCCAAAAAGCCAAGUGUGUCUAAAAAUGACGGCUGCCACAUUCCUAAGAGGUCGUGAUUCCUAUGUAAGGGUGGGGUCCACCCUAAAAUAAAAGGGAACCUAGGGUGCCAANUGUCCUANAAUUUUGGGCCCUCAUAUUUNUGCCAACAAUGGUCCAAUGUGUAAAAGUUUGUCUAAAAAGUUUAAAUAAUUAAAUUACAAGACAACUAAAAUUUAAAAUGUCCAAUAUGAGAGUCUUGAAUUUAUUUUGUCUCCUUCCCAAUCCUCCAAAUUGUAUCUCCNAAAUUUUCC